Molecule: long non-coding RNA, 3894 nt
Organism: Centruroides sculpturatus (bark scorpion)
Lineage: Eukaryota; Metazoa; Arthropoda; Arachnida; Scorpiones; Buthidae
Exons: 2
Source: RefSeq, a predicted model, not a curated record
UGUAGCAUAAUGGGUUCAACAGUCACGGCAGUAGAAACUUCUCGAGAGUGCAGUAGUGUAUCUUACUCGGUAAAUUGGUCGACUACUUCAGUUAGUGCAACAAAGAGAGGACAGAGAGAUACACUUAUGAUAACUAUAAAUAUUAAAGAUCAAGGAAUAUUAACAAUUAAACCUCAAGUGAAAUUUUAUAAAUCUACGGAUAAUCAACACUACACCUGGGGAAAAGCACUAACUCGAAUAGAUUAUGAAUGCCACUAUAAAGAUGGAUCAUCAUUUAUAGAAAUCGAUAAAGAAAUUUAUCGAUAAAUUUUGUUAAAUUCUUUGUCUAAUAAUUAUUUUAAUAUAAUUUAUUCAAAUUUAUGUGCAUAAUUUUAUAACAAUGUUCCUAUAAAUAAGUCAUAUCAAAUAGAAUUAAUCUCAUUUUAUAAGCUGAAGUAUCUGAUUGAAAGGGAAAAUUUUUUAACAAUAAUAUAAUAAUGUUUACACAAAUUUAUACCAAAAUAAUGACUUUUGAAUUUUUAAAGUUUAACUAAUUUUUCAAAAUAACUAACAUAUCCUUCAAUAUGCAGAAUUACUGUCUGCAUAUUACCUGCUAUUAACCUUUCAGCAGUGCAUUAAUCAGGUAUGGUACUAUCCCUAUGUAGUGGAGAAUAAAUGUGGGAAAUUUUUAGAGUAUUUUCCCAUGUGUUUUUUUCUCAUUACCGUUUCAGAAAAAGAUUUUGUAAACAGUUAUGUCUAGUAAAGAAAAGUCAUUUUUUUAUUGUUACAUAAUUCCUUUUUAUGUAGAUUCUUUUUUGCGGUAGUUUUUGGCGAUAUCCAUCGCUUACGAUUGCCCUUGAUGGAUAUAUCCAUUGGUCACUGCUGAGCGGUUAAUAGUGUAUUAUAUAACCUGUUUUUUCAAUGAUAUGUUAAAAAUCAAUGAAAGUAACUUGCUUUAUUGUUCAUAUAAUUUAACACUUGAAAAACAAGUUAUAAAUUCAUAACUAAUAUAUCACAUGCAGGGAUAUAGCCAGAAAACUUUGGGUGUGGUUCACCUCCAUAUCUUAUGGCUUGUGUAGAUGUAGCAUAGAUGGGUAGGCUACUGUAAAAAUGUCUCUUGAUCAUUAGCAACAUGUUAUGCAAAGAGCCAUUAUGUUGAUAUGGCAGCUUAUUGCAAGCCAUUUGUGAACCAGUGAUAAUUUACACAUGACAAUGCUCAAUAAAGUAGAAAAGGAUGAACAAGUAUUGAAUUAUAUUCUUUUUUAUAUUCAUGACAUCCUCAUGGCUGUUAAUGAUAUUUGAGUCUGUUCUGUUUUAUCCAGUGGUCAACUGCUUGACAUUUUUUUAUUACAUUUACUUCUAAACUUAAAUGAUGACUGGUGGCAAAUGUGGGUCAGAAGAGUUAGUUUGGGAAAUGCUGCCCCUUGUUACAUGUGACUACAUCCCUGUACAUGAGUAAUUCGGACUAAAAGUUUCUUACAUAACCUGCAGGGUUAUAUAUAUUUUAAAAUCAAUUUGAAAGCAGGUACUGGCUGUUUUAUAGCAAUUCUUGUGGGUUAUACACCAGAAAAAUUAGGUUUCUAAAAAAUAGUUCUGUUUCUAAAAAACAGAACCUAUCACUACUUCAGCUUACAUUGUAAGAUAAUUUGUGAUGAUCAGUGCCAUUCAUGAAAGCAUUUUGAAUAUGAGCCUUAAUUUUUGAGCAUUUAUUUUUUUAUCUAUUAUCAUAAUGUAAAAUAAUACACAAUACAUAAUUAAAAAAAUUUUUUUGCAUGUAAUAUUUUAUAAAAAUUUAAUCACAUAUUUCAAUUUCUGGAAAACAAGUUAUUGCUAAUUUUAUAUUCUACAAAAUUCUUAUAUUUAAAUGUCAAAUUUUCCAAAUAUUUGCAAUAAGAAACUUUAAGUGCAAAUGGUAUUAACUUGUUUUUAUUAAAAUGUAAGUGAAAUCAAUAGCCAGUUGCAAUAAAUUGUUUCAAAAGUCUUAUGUAAUAUUUCAUCAAAUUUCAGAAUAUUAAUAUUAGAGAAAAUAACAAAAUCUGAUAUUUUUUUACAGAAACUAACUGAAUUGUGUAUUUUUCUAAACAAGUUAAAAAAAAAAUCUACUUUACUCUAUAACAGAAAUUUUAAAAACUUUGGAAAUAAAUUGAUUACUGAUUAUACUUGAGGUUUAGAACCUUCAGAAAGUGCAUAUCUGCAUGAAAAAUUUCAUUUCAUCUUGUUAGAAAUUGUCAUAAUUAUGUCUCAAUUUUUUUUAAUAUAUAAAUAAACAAAAAUCUAUACUUCUCUGAAUUAUAAUUGAUUUAUUAGAGAGAUUAAGAAUUUCAUAACUUCUCAAAUUGUGAAUUAGUUUUGUGCAUUUUAAGCACUGUUUUUUCUUAUAGCCUGAAAGUGCAUUUGAGGUUUUUCAAUGUGAUCAAGGCUUAACAGUUUUAGAUUAUCUAUUAAUUUAGACUUCCAUUUGAGAUAUGAUUCUAAUUCAUAUUUUACAUUAAUUUAUGUAUCUACUCUGUAAGAAAUCCAAUCACUCGUUACUUAUGCAGAUUUAACAACAAACUGAUUCAUUUAUAAUAUAUGUCAAACAUAUCAGGUUAUCUGCUUAUGCCAACAAAUUUAUAAUUUGAUAAACAGCUAUAAUAAUGAUACCUGUUUUUAACCAGCUGAAAAUCCCAACUUUAACCCUUUGAGUACUCUUGUAAGUAUACAUGAUACACAUGGACUCUACAGAGUAAGACAAAUAUAUAUUCAAGGGGUUUGAGUCGUAAUCCUGAACGUUGAAAUCCCAAAAAAUCAAAUUCCCAAAAUGCCUAAAACCUCAAUUUCUAAUGAAAAAUUUGUGGUCUGUAGGUGAGUGCAUACAGAAUGGAUUUAAAACAACAUAGAAGCAUGAUGCAGAAGAUAGAAUAAUUUAAUAGGGAAUGCUAACUUUGGUGCAUAUUGAAUCAUUGAAUACUUUCAGAAAGUGCAAUGCCACGUAGAAAAUGAAUAUGAGCAUAUUCUCCAAAGAAAACCAUGCCCUAAAAGGAAAAAAGCAGAUAUUCAUUGCAAAAUACAACUUCAGAAUAUAGUUAAUGAUCAUGAAAGUCGGUCAGCUCUUUUGACCACCUCUGUGUACCCAUAAUAUUUCCAUGUAAUAUGCUUUUUUUGUACAUUGGUUUUCUCUUCUUCACUACUAAAAAUUUUCAGCAUUGAUUUUUGUAAUUUGUAAUUCUAUAUAUUUGACUUUAGCUACUAUGUUGUAAAGUAAUAAUACUCAAUAUGUGUGUAUUAUGCACAGUGCAUACAUAUUGACUAUUACUGUUAGCCCUUUUUCUACAAUAAAAUAUUUAUGAAGUGUUCACUCACUUGUUUAUGUAUAUUUCUCAAAUAAAUUCGUUUAAGAGACAUUAACAUUUUUAAAGAUUUAUUAUUUUUCCUAGGAUUGUAUUUUUGAGAUUUUAAUUUUUCAGGAUUGUGAUUUUUUUUUUUUUCUUUUGAAAUUUCAACAUUUGGGAUUAUAGUUAUCACUGACAUUCAAAUUGGUGUCAGUAUAGUAUGCUCCUAUAUUUAUGGCCAAACUUGAAACUUUACAGGCAGCUAGAGACAUCAUUGACAAGUCUAGAUUUUUUUAGGUUUGUUGUGAGGUUUAGCAUGAAGACAAACAUAGCUUCUGGUAAUUACACUUGUUAUCUACUUCUGAAUUAUUGGAGUUACUCAACACAGUCAAAUCAGAAAGAAAAUGUCUAGUUUUUAAAAAAAUAUGAAUUGGAAAAUGAGAUACUAAUUUUAUUUGUAAAUGUUAUAUUUUUUAAAAUUAACUCAUUCUGGGAGGGAAAUAGAUUUCAUGAUGUUAAAUAGUUUUUUAAAAUUUCACAUAAACCACUCAUAAAAGUAAAGUUCAAACACUACAAAAUUGUCAAACUUAAUUUUAAUGUAAUA